CUACGGGGCGCACCAGUUAGGAAUAAUCUACAAUGCGCGCAAGCGUGAUAGUUUGAGUCGGAGUGCGUUCCAACUUGGAAUGCUUUUGCCAAGUCUAAAAAGCUUGGCGAAUAAGGACUGGGUAAGACGAGCUGCCAGCCGCCGCGGUAAUACUCGCGGUCCAAGUCGCAGCCAUUUUUAUUGGGUCUAAAACAUCCGUAGCUUGCUUCUUAAGUUCCCUGUGAAAUCCUAUAUCUUAAAUGUAGGGCGGGCAGGGAGUACUGGGGAGCUAGAGACUGGAAGACGCAACGAGUACGUUCAAAGUAGCGGUAAAAUGUUUUAAUCUUGGACGGACUAACAAUAGCGAAGGCACGUUGCGAGGACAGUUCUGACAGUAAGGGAUGAAGGCCAGGGGCGCAAAACGGAUUAGAUACCCCAGUAGUC
This 423-nucleotide ribosomal RNA is filed under the name uncultured archaeon. Its description in RNAcentral is "partial 16S ribosomal RNA". It matches the Rfam family "Archaeal small subunit ribosomal RNA", at positions 323 to 746 of the family's 1478-position model. The record is from RNAcentral.